RNAcentral lists this ribosomal RNA (716 nucleotides) under uncultured bacterium. Its description in RNAcentral is "bacterial SSU rRNA". It matches the Rfam family "Bacterial small subunit ribosomal RNA", at positions 125 to 818 of the family's 1533-position model. The record is from RNAcentral.
UCUACCCUUGAGCGGGGGAUAACAGUUGGAAACGGCUGCUAAUACCGCAUAUACUGGCGAGACCUGAUGGUUUUGUCAGCAAAGGUGGCCUCUUAACAAUGCUAUCACUUAACGAUGAGCCCGCGUCUGAUUAGCUAGUAGGUGGGGUAACGGCCUACCUAAGCAACGAUCAGUAUCCGGCCUGAAACGGUGUACGGCCACACUGGAACUGAGACACAGUCCAAACUCCUACGGGAGGCAGCAGUGGGGAAUAUUGCGCAAUGGGGGAAACCCUGACGCAGCGACUCCGCGUGAGCGAUGAAGGCCUUAUGGUCGUAAAGCUCUGUUGUAAGGGACGAAUGUUUAUCUGGCGAACAGUCAGAUAAAGUGACGGUACCUUACCAGCAAGCCCCGGCUAACUACGUGCCAGCAGCCGCGGUAAGACGUAGGGGGCGAGCGUUGUCCGGAAUUACUGGGCGUAAAGAGCACGUAGGCGGAUAAUUAAGUCAGAUGUGAAAGACCGGGGCCCAAACUCGGGGUUGCAUCUGAAACUGGAUAUCUUGAGGGCAGGAGAGGAAAGUGGAAUUCCUGAUGUAGCGGUGAAAUGCGUAGAAAUCAGGAUGAAUACCAGUGGCGAAGGCGACUUUCUGGACUGACCCUGACGCUGAGGUGCCAAAGCGUGGGGAGCAAACAGGAUUAGAUACCCUGGUAGUCCACGCCGUAAACAAUAAGUACUA